RNAcentral lists this ribosomal RNA (253 nucleotides) under uncultured bacterium. RNAcentral describes it as "partial 16S ribosomal RNA". It matches the Rfam family "Bacterial small subunit ribosomal RNA", at positions 524 to 776 of the family's 1533-position model. The record is from RNAcentral.
UACAGAGGCUGCAAGCGCUAUUCGGAUUCACUGGGCGUAAAGGGUGCGCAGGCGGCCAAGUGUGUGAGGCGUGAAAGCCCGGGGCUUAACCCCGGAAUUGCACCUCAAACUACAUGGCUAGAGCAUUGGAGAGGGUAGCGGAAUUCACGGUGUAGCAGUGAAAUGCGUAGAUAUCGUGAGGAACACCAGAGGCGAAGGCGGCUACCUGGACAAUUGCUGACGCUCAGGCACGAAAGCGUGGGGAGCAAAAGGG